AAACUUUCAACAACGGAUCUCUUGGUUCCGGCAUCGAUGAAGAACGCAGCGAAGUGCGAUAAGUAAUGUGGAUUGCAGAAUUCAGUGAAUCAUCGAAUCUUUGAACGCACAUUGCGCCCCCUGGUAUUCCGGGGGGCAUGCCUGUCCGAGCGUCAUU
RNAcentral lists this ribosomal RNA (157 nucleotides) under Monascus purpureus. RNAcentral's name for it is "5.8S ribosomal RNA". It matches the Rfam family "5.8S ribosomal RNA". Rfam says of the family: 5.8S ribosomal RNA (5.8S rRNA) is a component of the large subunit of the eukaryotic ribosome. It is transcribed by RNA polymerase I as part of the 45S precursor that also contains 18S and 28S rRNA. Lineage: Eukaryota; Fungi; Ascomycota; Eurotiomycetes; Eurotiales; Aspergillaceae. The record is from RNAcentral.